AAUAAAUAUACAUAAUAUUCAUGUACAUGUCAUGAAUUAAUGUAUAAAUUUUUUAUAAAUGGUGUAUACAUGUACAUAUCAUGCAAGAUAGUAUUGCACGUGAGACACAUAGAACUAAUAUUGGUCUGCGGCUGGCACCGAAGUCGAUCGCAUGUGUGCCAAGUGUCUGUGUCUGCCCUCUAUGAACAUUGUAACGUAAGACCCAAAACAUGGUAUUCAACGCCUUCACCAUCUUCUUCCUAAAAGGUUUCCUCCUUCGCUUCUGCAAUUUCAAGAAUCAAAGAUCCCAUGAACAGAAUAACAUGUUUGUUUAUAUUUACGAGAACUCAGCACAUCUCUUCUUACUUUUUGUACGGGUUCAACACCUUAAUCAACAAGACACUGAUUAAUUAAUAAUUCCCUUCUUUUAAUAAAAGUAUCUGUUGAAUUUCCAGCUAAUAUAAUCUCAUAACCAGCUUCUGUUUCCCUUCUUCUUCUUUUUCUUUUUAAUUCAUAAAAUGAAAUUACUAUUUCUUUUUCAUUUCUACUUUAGUGGUGUGCAGUGACGUGACAACAUAAUUUCCCAGCAAUUUACUAAGUUUAUUAAAUAUUUUCAAUCCAAAGUAGACAUCGAUUGUCCGGACUCCAAUGAAUCCUAUGUAUUUUGUAAAUUCGGAUAAAUUAAUAGCGACCAUUCAGAACGGAGACGAUGAGAUUUUGAUAAGACUAACUCGAUAUCCUACUGUUAAAAACUCAUAAUAAAAUUUAAAUAUAAAAUUAUAAAAAUCGAGACAUGAGAUAUUUUCACAUAAAAGAGAAAUUAAUCCUGCCACCUUUUUUACUGCUAAUGUGUUAACCAGUACUAUCUUUCAGUAGCCUGUACUAAAUUUGAGUAGUAGAGCAAUGAUCUAGAAUCCAAUUGGGACUUCUUCUCUAUCCCAAUAUAUUAUUUCAUUACAGUCUGUACAUAUAUGUAUAUAGAUUUACCUCUGCGUAUUGCCUAUUGGGAAGCGUGCACUUUGUUUGGCUUUCUUCAUGUUUUGGCCAUACAAUAGGCAAAGAUUCUCAGACCAUAUUUCUGCAGGCAUAUGUUAUGGAGGGAGUAAGGGAUCCUAUAUACGCAUUUUCUUAAGAAAACUGCAGAUACUGUCACCUUAAAAGCCCAAAAGCAGAAUUUGGUGGCCAGUGAAUAUAAAAGAAAGUUGAUAGAGCAACAGUAGAAAGCAAAAUCCCAAAAGAAAAAAACGAAAAAAGAAAAAAGAAAAAAGAAAAGAAGCUAAAAGAAGAAAACAAAAAUAUGGUUUUUAGUGGUUCUUUGUU
This 1299-nucleotide long non-coding RNA is filed under the name Ricinus communis (castor bean). RNAcentral describes it as "long non-coding RNA (RCOM_LNC001292)". Lineage: Eukaryota; Viridiplantae; Streptophyta; Magnoliopsida; Malpighiales; Euphorbiaceae. The record is from RNAcentral.